RNAcentral lists this ribosomal RNA (468 nucleotides) under uncultured bacterium. Its description in RNAcentral is "partial 16S ribosomal RNA". It matches the Rfam family "Bacterial small subunit ribosomal RNA", at positions 28 to 507 of the family's 1533-position model. The record is from RNAcentral.
AGUGAACGCUGGCGGUGGGCCUAACACAUGCAAGUCGAACGGCAGCGCCCUAAGUUCUUGCUCUUACGGGUGGCGAAUGGCGGACGGGUGAGGAAUACAUCGGACUCUACACUUUGGGGGGGGUUAAGGUAAGUAGAGUUACGCUAAGACCGCAUACGACCUUGGGGGGAAAGCAGGGGAUCGUCGCGGCGGUGGGGGUUGGAUGCGCGGCUGACCAGCUAGCUGGUGGGGUAGUGGCGUACCAAGGCUUGCGCGGGUCGCCGGCAUGGGAGGGUGACCGGCCACAUUGGGACUGCGAUACGGCCCAGACUCCUACGUGAGGCAGCAGUGGGGAAUAUUGCACAAUGGGCGGAAGCCUGAUGCAGCAACGCCGCGUGCGGGAUGACGGCCUUCGGGUUGUAAACCGCUUUCGCCUGUGACGAAGCGUGAGUGACGGUAAUGGGUAAAGAAGCACCGGCUAACUACGUG